RNAcentral lists this ribosomal RNA (404 nucleotides) under uncultured bacterium. RNAcentral describes it as "bacterial SSU rRNA". It matches the Rfam family "Bacterial small subunit ribosomal RNA", at positions 355 to 774 of the family's 1533-position model. The record is from RNAcentral.
UCGGGAAUAUUGCGCAAUGGAGGAAACUCUGACGCAGUGACGCCGCGUGCAGGAAGAAGGUUUUCGGAUUGUAAACUGCUUUAGACAGGGAAGAAGAAGUGACAGUACCUGUAGAAUAAGCUCCGGCUAACUACGUGCCAGCAGCCGCGGUAAUACGUAGGGAGCGAGCGUUAUCCGGAUUUAUUGGGUGUAAAGGGUGCGUAGAUGGAUAAGCAAGUUGGUUGUGAAAUCCCUCGGCUUAACUGAGGAACUGCAACCAAAACUGUUAAUCUUGAGUGCUGGAGGGGAAAGUGGAAUUCCUAGUGUAGCGGUGAAAUGCGUAGAUAUUAGGAAGAACACCGGUGGCGAAGGCGACUUUCUGGACAGUAACUGACAUUGAGGCACGAAAGUGUGGGGAGCAAACA